Molecule: ribosomal RNA, 656 nt
Filed under: uncultured bacterium
Lineage: Bacteria
Description: bacterial SSU rRNA
Rfam family: Bacterial small subunit ribosomal RNA
Source: RNAcentral
GCAGGCUUACACAUGCAGUCGAGCGGGGUGAUGGUGCUUGCACUAUCACUUAGCGGCGGACGGGUGAGUAAUGCUUAGGAAUCUGCCUAUUAGUGGGGGACAACAUUCCGAAAGGAAUGCUAAUACCGCAUACGUCCUACGGGAGAAAGCAGGGGAUCUUCGGACCUUGCGCUAAUAGAUGAGCCUAAGUCGGAUUAGCUAGUUGGUGGGGUAAAGGCCUACCAAGGCGACGAUCUGUAGCGGGUCUGAGAGGAUGAUCCGCCACACUGGGACUGAGACACGGCCCAGACUCCUACGGGAGGCAGCAGUGGGGAAUAUUGGACAAUGGGCGCAAGCCUGAUCCAGCCAUGCCGCGUGUGUGAAGAAGGCCUUAUGGUUGUAAAGCACUUUAAGCGAGGAGGAGGCUACUUUAGUUAAUACCUAGAGAUAGUGGACGUUACUCGCAGAAUAAGCACCGGCUAACUCUGUGCCAGCAGCCGCGGUAAUACAGAGGGUGCAAGCGUUAAUCGGAUUUACUGGGCGCAAAGCGCGCGUAGGCGGCUAAUUAAGUCAAAUGUGAAAUCCCCGAGCUUAACUUGGGAAUUGCAUUCGAUACUGGUUAGCUAGAGUGUGGGAGAGGAUGGUAGAAUUCCAGGUGUAGCGGUGAAAUGCGUAGA